This is a non-coding RNA of Nematostella vectensis (starlet sea anemone), 80 nucleotides long. Lineage: Eukaryota; Metazoa; Cnidaria; Anthozoa; Actiniaria; Edwardsiidae. The record is from Rfam.
CCCGCUGAAUUUAAGCAUAUUAAUAAGCGGAGGAAAAGAAACUAACAAGGAUUCCCCUAGUAAUGGCGAAUGAAGCGGGA